CCUACGGGUGGCAGCAGUAGGGAAUAUUGCUCAAUGGGGGAAACCCUGAAGCAGCAACGCCGCGUGGAGGAUGAAGGUUUUAGGCUUGUAAACUCCUUUUGUGAGAGAAGAUAAUGACGGUUACUCACGCAUAAGCACCGGCUAACUCCGUGCCAGCAGCCGCGGUAAUACGGGGGGUGCCAGCGUUACUCGGAAUCACUGGGCGUAAAGAGUGCGCAGGCGGGCUUGUAAGUCUGAUGUGGAAUCCUGGGGCUUAACUACAGAACUGGAUUGGAAACUAUUAGGCUAGAGGGUGGGAGAGGUAGGUGGAAUUCGUGGUGUAGGGGUGAAAUCCGUAGAUAUCAAGAGGAAUACUGAUUGCGAAGGCGACCUACUGGAACAUUACUGACGCUCAUACACGAAAGCGUGGGGAGCAAACAGGAUUAGAUACCCCUGUAGUC
Molecule: ribosomal RNA, 440 nt
Filed under: uncultured bacterium
Lineage: Bacteria
Description: partial 16S ribosomal RNA
Rfam family: Bacterial small subunit ribosomal RNA
Source: RNAcentral